CUGGAGUCCCUCAGUCACAGAGACAAACAAACUUCACUGAGAAGACACUCCAAGUUCACUUGUAGGUUCAGUCCAAAGACGCCAAUGGCAGAAAAUGUUCCUGAUAUGGCUAAAAAGCAACAGACUCAUUCUAUUGUUGCUGUUUACAGAGCCUAAAGCUGACACAGAGACAGCCUACCACUGUAUGAACUCAAGAAGACGAGGACUUGUUAGUGUUGGCAGCUUGAAAGGUCAACCGUUACGUUCAGUUAUGCUGGCAGACUCUCUGCACCAUAAAAAAAAAAAAAAACCUUACAUUAACAUUCCUG
Long non-coding RNA from Carassius gibelio (silver crucian carp), 308 nucleotides. RefSeq lists it as uncharacterized. Lineage: Eukaryota; Metazoa; Chordata; Actinopteri; Cypriniformes; Cyprinidae. The transcript is spliced from 3 exons. The record is from RefSeq and is a predicted model, not a curated record.